RNAcentral lists this ribosomal RNA (305 nucleotides) under uncultured bacterium. Its description in RNAcentral is "bacterial SSU rRNA". It matches the Rfam family "Bacterial small subunit ribosomal RNA", at positions 338 to 641 of the family's 1533-position model. The record is from RNAcentral.
CCUACCGGGGGCAGCAGUGAGGAAUAUUGGUCAAUGGGCGGGAGCCUGAACCAGCCAAGCCGCGUGAGGGAAGAAGGUACAGCGUAUCGUAAACCUCUUUUGUCAGGGAACAAAGGCGGGGACUAGUCCCCGGAUGAGGGUACCUGAAGAAAAAGCAUCGGCUAACUCCGUGCCAGCAGCCGCGGUAAUACGGAGGAUGCGAGCGUUAUCCGGAUUUAUUGGGUUUAAAGGGUGCGCAGGCGGCCUGUUAAGUCAGCGGUAAAAGCCCGGGGCUCAACCCCGUCGAGCCGUUGAAACUGGCGGGC